This 431-nucleotide ribosomal RNA is filed under the name uncultured bacterium. RNAcentral's name for it is "bacterial SSU rRNA". It matches the Rfam family "Bacterial small subunit ribosomal RNA", at positions 29 to 506 of the family's 1533-position model. The record is from RNAcentral.
ACGAACGCUGGCGGCAGGCUUAACACAUGCAAGUCGAGCGCGCUCUUCGGAGCGAGCGGCAGACGGGUGAGUAACGCGUGGGAACGUACCUUUCGGUUCGGAACAACCCAGGGAAACUUGGGCUAAUACCGGAUACGCCCUCAGGGGGAAAGAUUUAUCGCCGAAAGAUCGGCCCGCGUCGGAUUAGCUAGUUGGCGGGGUAAAGGCCCACCAAGGCGACGAUCCGUAGCUGUUCUGAGAGGAAGAUCAGCCACAUUGGGACUGAGACACGGCCCAAACUCCUACGGGAGGCAGCAGUGGGGAAUAUUGGACAAUGGGCGAAAGCCUGAUCCAGCCAUGCCGCGUGGAUGAAGAAGGCCCUAGGGUUGUAAAGUCCUUUCGGUGGUGAAGAUAAUGACGGUAACCACACAAGAAGCCCCGGCUAAUUUCGU